AGCAUGGCUGUCCUGGUGCUGCUCCUCUGCCUGGUGACCUUUCCAAGCUGUGCCCUGUCCCAGAUGCAGCUGAAGGAGUCAGGACCUGGCCUGGUGCAGCCCUCACAGACCCUGUCUCUCACCUGCACUCUCUGGGUUCUCAUUAACUGACUAUGGUGUAAUCUGGGUCCGCCAGCCUCCAGGAAAGGGUCUGGAGUGGAUGGGAGCAAUAUGGAGUGGUGGAGGCACAGAUUAUAAUUCAGCUCUCAAAUCCAGAGUCAGCAUCAGCAGGGACACCUCCAAGAGCCAAGUUUUCUUAAAACUGAACAAUCUGCAAACUGAGGACACAGCCAUGUAUUACUGUGCCAAAGACACAGUGAAGGAACUCCAGUGUGAGCCUGCACAAAAACCUCCCUACAGACACAUUCAGGACCAGCAGGGGGAGCUGAGUACCAGCAGAGACUUCCCAGGACUAGUAUGGAGUCUCUUCAGAAUCUAGGAAGUUCUGGACUAUCCUGCAUGAACACGUGUUUUAAUUUUAGAACCUGUGGGUUUCACCUCCAGCCAAGGAAAUCCUCUA
Molecule: non-coding RNA, 559 nt
Organism: Peromyscus eremicus (cactus mouse)
Lineage: Eukaryota; Metazoa; Chordata; Mammalia; Rodentia; Cricetidae
Source: the annotation of a RefSeq genome assembly